Molecule: ribosomal RNA, 396 nt
Filed under: uncultured Atopobium sp.
Lineage: Bacteria; Bacillati; Actinomycetota; Coriobacteriia; Coriobacteriales; Atopobiaceae
Description: bacterial SSU rRNA
Rfam family: Bacterial small subunit ribosomal RNA
Source: RNAcentral
AAGCAUCUUCGGAUGUGUAUAAAGUGGCGAACGGCUGAGUAACACGUGGGCAACCUGCCCUUUGCACUGGGAUAGCCUCGGGAAACCGAGGUUAAUACCGGAUACUCCAUAUUUGUCGCAUGGCGAAUAUGGGAAAGCUCCGGCGGCAAAGGAUGGGCCCGCGGCCUGUUAGCUAGUUGGUGGGGUAGUGGCCUACCAAGGCAAUGAUGGGUAGCCGGGUUGAGAGACCGACCGGCCAGAUUGGGACUGAGACACGGCCCAGACUCCUACGGGAGGUAGCAGUGGGGAAUCUUGCACAAUGGGCGAAAGCCUGAUGCAGCGACGCCGCGUGCGGGAUGAAGGCCUUCGGGUUGUAAACCGCUUUCAGCAGGGACGAGGCCGCAAGGUGACGGUACC